UCAUAUUUCAUUUCGUUUCCAUUUUCUGACUUCCCUUACAGUUGGAGGUGGCCGAGUCCUUUCUGGUAGAGGUUGAGAUGAGUGAUGUGUGGCAUUUCCAGACCAAAGCUGUGCCCUCCUUCCAUGGCAGAGGCUGAGGAAUGGCAGAGUGCACCAUGCCGGAGCUCCCAUCCUUCCACCCCCAUGUGGACGGCUUCACACUGGCGUGAAUCCCUGUGCCUCCACGCGCUGCAGACCCACCCAGCAAGUCUCAUGAGCAAGAGGAAGCUGUCAGCCCCAGAAGCCACCUCCUCCCGGCUGAGUUCUCUCUUUGGUCAAGUUUCGGGGAGCCCAGGUGAGCUAGCCUGUGCGCACUGUCCCCUGUGGGGCUGCAGAGGCCUGUGGACAUCCUUGGCUCCAAAGCCACGUCAAGCCCUCUGCCCUUUCUGCCCGCUGCACUGCAGCCCACCGCCCUGUGGCCAUUCCCACCCA
This 471-nucleotide long non-coding RNA is filed under the name Aotus nancymaae (Ma's night monkey). RNAcentral's name for it is "lncRNA (ENSANAG00000038732.1)". The record is from RNAcentral. Lineage: Eukaryota; Metazoa; Chordata; Mammalia; Primates; Aotidae.